UUGUCAUCAAGCUGAGGACGUUACUUCAUGAUUCUUAUUAAUCCAGGCUAGAAAGACGUUGAGCUCUCCCAGGGAUUUAAUGGCAGCAGCGCGGACCUCCAGCUGAAAUCAGAGAUCAAUGAGCCAAAGGGAAACACACUGUAACUUCAUGCCUGCAGAAAGGGGAGGAAGUCAGCUGUCCAGCCAAGAGUGAAGGGCAAUGAAAAAGAAGACCCCUGAUUGACGCUCCUUUCCAGCCUCGAAGGCAGGCCAGGAGGAAUACAAGAAAACAACACUAAACACUUCAGCCUUGAGGAGUUACAGGGACUCCCAGAAUAAAUGGAGCUUAUUUUUAACCAAAUGAAGUGACCUUGGGAUGAGGUGCAAUUAUGAGACUCCACUGGGCUGGUACAAACCCUGUUCCUGCAGCCAGAUUCGGGAGACAGAGAGGGCCACAGGGCACCGGCAGAGAAGGAAAAGGGACAGGAAAGA
Gorilla gorilla gorilla (western lowland gorilla) is the source of this 471-nucleotide long non-coding RNA. RefSeq lists it as uncharacterized. Lineage: Eukaryota; Metazoa; Chordata; Mammalia; Primates; Hominidae. The record is from RefSeq and is a predicted model, not a curated record. The transcript has 3 exons.